Magnolia sinica is the source of this 2006-nucleotide long non-coding RNA. RefSeq lists it as uncharacterized. Lineage: Eukaryota; Viridiplantae; Streptophyta; Magnoliopsida; Magnoliales; Magnoliaceae. The record is from RefSeq and is a predicted model, not a curated record. The transcript has 2 exons.
CGUCUUUUUUUUUCCUGAGCCUCACUGUUGAUGAUCUAUAGAUGUGAUGUCAGUUUCUUUACUUCAUUUAGUUGAAGCGUCCAUUUUAGUUGAUUGCAGGGUAUAGGUUAUCUCCGAUACCCUCAAGUAAGACAAGCAUUUUUGGGUGGUGCCACAUCUUCCGUACUGUAAGUUCACUAAGCCACGUUAUCUCCAUUACAACCCCACCACCAAAUUCCUUACCAAGUAACUAUUUGUAGGUGAAAAGAACUAGAAAAUUAGGGAUUGAAUUUCUUUUUUUUCUUUUUUUAAUUUUUUAAUUUUUUAUUUUUAAUAAUUGUGGUUGUGGCUGGGAUUGGAUUUUUUAAUUUUUCUUUUUUUUUUUUGAAUAAUUCCUCACCAAGUAGAAUGUAAAAUUUUAAAGUAUGUUCAUUCUUCCUUAGCUUACUUGUACGAGUGUCCUUGAAAAUUGAUUUUAUUUAUCAUCAUAAUUCUCUAGGGAUCAUACAGAAUCAAUAAAAGCUCAUCACAGGAAAGAUCCUAUAUUCAGCAGGGUGACCUCUGACAAGGUUUGUAUCUGGUCUUGUUAUGGAUUCAUGUGUUUUUGAUGUAUUAGAUGCUGACCAGGGAUACCUAUGGGGUGAAUUGAUUUCCUAGGAGUGUAAUUACAAGUAGUUCUAAAAUUGGCCGACUCAAAAUCAAAACUCGGCAGGUUAUCAACCCUCUGCUUUUCCACCAUGAAAAGCACUGUUCAUUUCAGGUACUGCUCGAAAAAAAAUGAAAUAUUAAUUCAGCAUAUAAGCUUCUCAUGUUUUUAGCCUGUUGAGACUUCAAAUUGAUUGACAUCUUUGUUAACAUACAUUUCAUUGUUUUGGUGGUGUGGCCCACAUGAGUUUUGGAUUCAGCUGAUCUUUCAAAUACGCUCCUCCAGAAGGGGAUAGCGCGGCUUCUUUGAAAGUAAGAGGAACAGCGGGAUACUUGGAUCUGGAGUAUUUUCCACUCAGCAACUUUCUGCCAAAUGUGUUAUAUGAAGCUCGAUUGAUGGGUCGAAUGGGUAUGGAUUCAAAUUAUAAAUUUAUCCUCCUAGCUUAUGGAAAAAUCAUGAACCAUCCUUUGUUUUUAUGGUACAAACUCAGUUCUUCAGAAAUUAGGCCUUACUAUGGCAUGUUAUAUGAAGCUCGAUCGAUGGGUCGAGUGGCUCCAAAUUUUGGUAGUCUAAAACAUUCAUAUGGUGGGCCCAUCGUUGGAUGGGCUGGUGACAGUUCUUACAAUGUGAUUGGUGGAUUGCGAAUGCAAAAUUAUAGGCAAUGGUCUGCAUUAAUGGGGGCCCAUCUGACUCUCAGGAUCAUCUAAUGAGGAGGAUUCUUGGCAUACUCUCAUUCAUUAUGGGGUUGAUUGCAUGAAUGGGUUGGUUCACCCAAAAGUGGGCCACACAUGUAUAACUUGUUGGUUUGAGCGAAUUGCUAGAUCAAGCAUUUCAUAUUUCCUCUAGCUCUAUAUCUACAUUCAUCACGUUCUUUUGAUAGGUGAAGUUGAACACCUCACCCUCUCUUUUGGUUCACUUGACAUAUUGGUUAGCUUGCGCAAAAUCUACAUACAUACAUACAUUCACACACAUACAUAUCUGCACGUUAUGAAUUUUCAGUAUUCCGUAGAGAAAUCUUGUCAGCGAAGAAGCUGUAUGCGACUGUCUAAAAGUGGAACUAUUGGAUUGAUCCCUAGCAUGAGGAAACAAAAGCAUGGUGUUUGCCGCAUACUUCGUUUUUCUUUUGUUAUUUCUUCCUUUUUCAUCCGGCGAUGAAAUGGGCUACCUGCCUAACAUAGAACAAAGGUGUGAACUGGAAUUUGCAGCAUUACAUUACAAGUAUUUUGUUGUUUAUCAGAGACUGCUCUUGUUUUUUGGUAGAUUUCUAAGGACAGCUCUUUGAAAUCUGGGUUCAUGUUCUUAUUAUUAGUGCUGCUGUAGUUGUUGUUGGUGGAUGAAAUUUCCCACCCUUCGGUGUGAUAGAUACACCAUUUCUUUUCUA